This 58-nucleotide transfer RNA is filed under the name Rhabdotobothrium anterophallum. RNAcentral describes it as "tRNA-His". The record is from RNAcentral. Lineage: Eukaryota; Metazoa; Platyhelminthes; Cestoda; Rhinebothriidea; Rhinebothriidae.
UUACUGGUAGGUUAAUUAAACUGGCAAAUUGUGGUUUUGUUGAUUACUUCUUUGUAUC